CAGAGACUGCGAGCGUUAUUCGGAUUCACUGGGCGUAAAGGGUGCGCAGGCGGCCAAGUGUGUGAGGCGUGAAAGCCCGGGGCUUAACCCCGGAAUUGCACCUCAAACUACAUGGCUAGAGCAUUGGAGAGGGUAGCAGAAUUCAUGGUGUAGCAGUGAAAUGCGUAGAUAUCAUGAGGAAUACCAGAGGCGAAGGCGGCUACCUGGACAAUUGCUGACGCUCAGGCACGAAAGCGUGGGGAGCAAAAGGGAUUAGAUACCCCUGUAGUCCACGCCCUAAACGGUGCACACUAGGUCUUGGCGGAUUCGACCCCCCCAGGGCCCAAGCUAACGCGUUAAGUGUGCCGCCUGAGGACUACGGCCGCAAGGCUA
This 372-nucleotide ribosomal RNA is filed under the name uncultured organism. RNAcentral describes it as "bacterial SSU rRNA". It matches the Rfam family "Bacterial small subunit ribosomal RNA", at positions 526 to 896 of the family's 1533-position model. The record is from RNAcentral.